GUGUGUGUAGGUCAGAGGAUAACUUUCUAGAGUUGGUUCUCCCCUUCUGCCAUAUAGGUUUUUAGAAUUGAACUUGGGGUAUCACACUUAGUGGCAAGCACCUUUACCCACUGAGUUUCUCUUGCUGGGCUGGUCAUUUUUAUUUAAACAUCACUCUGCCAUUUUAUAUGAUUCCAGCAUCUGCAGAUUUUGCUGUGGAAGGCAUAUUCUGGAGUCAUCUGUUGACACCUUUACAGGAUGGGUGGAGGCAUUUCCCAUCCCCAGGGAUAGAGCAGAUGUGGUGGCUCAGGUACUCCUUGAACACAUCAUCCCUUGGUUUGGCUAUUUGGCAUGCCACGGACUAUCCAAGCGGACAACACCCAACCUUCACUUCCAGGGUCAUUGAGCUUGUGUCUGAAGCCCUCAGCAUCUCCUGGAAAUUCCAUAUCCUCACAAGCUCCUAGGAUAUCAGCACUGGUACUAUGUCUCCAGGCUCCAGUGGGCACCUAUCUAAGUCUGCCCAGCAACUGGGACACUCCACCCUGAAGUUUUCCAAAACAUCCCAGUGAAGGGCCUAUCUGCUCUUCUGUCCUGGCAUUUACCCUUGCCUUUCCUGUACAAUCAGGGCACAUCUCCAUUCCAUUCUUUCUGGCAGUCUCCACUCUUCACAUGGCUAGCCCUGUUCAUAGGGCUGGUGUUAAUAAUCUAUUUUUUUUUCUCCUAGCAACUCGCCUUCUCUUCUUCCUCAAGAAACAGAUUCCUGAGGUCAUGAUCCUUAACCAGAUGCUUCCUCACCCAUACCUCCUGAUGAGCGGGAGCCCCACUGACUCCCAAUUCCCCCUCCCCAUGUCAUCUUGUGCCAACAGGAAGUAGCCAGACUUGAACCAGUACCCACAUAUCCAAGAUGGUUGGGAAUGUUUGGUUGGAAAGUCUGCCUCUCAGUUCCAUUCCUCCCUCUCCAGACCCUGCCCACCUCAGAAAGACCGCAAACAUCCAGGCUCCUCCCCCAAAGCUCAAGACUGUGCCUACAAGGUAUUUAAGCACCGCCCCCUCUGUUCCAAGACCUGCCAUGUGAUCUCCCACCACCUCUAGGGAGCUAGAAAGGUCACCCAAGAGUGCUUGGCUCCUUAAACCUGGUCUUUUUAAUUCGACUUAAUCUGGCUUACUGAGACGGCGGAGAAACCUAAUAUAGGGAUAUAAAAAAUCCUAUCAGAUACUAUUUUUUUUGUGGUAUUGGAACUUUAUCUUUAAUAAAUUACUUUAUCUUUUGUUUUUUGUAGUACCGUGCAUUGAACCUAGGACCUCGCACAUGCUAGGAUGCGCUCUACCACCCAGCUACAUCUCCAGCCCCUCUUUCAGGAUAAUUUAUAUUUGAAAUUAUCCAAGCUGGUCUUGAGCUUUGGGCUUCUCCUACCUCAGCCUCAGGAGAGGCUGAGGUGGCAGGCUUGUAGGACCAGGCCCAGCUUCUGUUCCUUCCAUCUACUUAAAGAACAUGCUCACUAAGAAGCAACUGGUGAGCUUUGCUUAAAGCAACUUUCAUGCCACCUUGCAGCGAAGGCAUCACCGCUGGGGCCCUUUCCGUUUUGUUCACGAAUGAGGGAGCAUUUCAAGUCAGUGUAGGCGAACAAACCAUGUCAGUGUCACAGGGCCUCUUCGCACACUGGGGUUCAUCUUUGGCCUCGAGUUCAUCCGAGUCUCCAUGCUCUCAGGCCCCCCCCAUCGGGCAUCUCUACAAUAAAGAGUGGGAGGAAAGCACAUGUCUGUGUUUUCACCACCAGUGAUGAGUGGUCUCAGGAAGGGUAACUUGGGCCGAGCUAACGGUACCUUCUUCCCUGUCCUUUCUGGAAUUCAUUAAGUUAAUACACUGUUGCCGGCAUGGGGCAGCGUCUUUGAUGGUGAGUACAGUUAAAUGCCUCUUUAGACAUGUCAUUGACUAACUGACACAGGGAGGUGCGUGGAGUGUGGUUGGCUUCGGGGCAGGGCGGGGGAGGAAGAAAAGAAGUGUCGCUCUCUAUAUUUUUUCACUUAAAAAUGCUUCUUAACAAUCCCUUGCAGCUGGCGGGAGGCUAAGGUUUCUCACACUCGGAAAGGAAGUCAGGCCAUAAAUAACCCAGGCAGGCACACCUGGAAAGAAUAACGCUUUUCUAGGCGCUCCGCUGUGUGGAGGAUGGAUGCCAGUCUGUGUGACAGGCUCCCCCGCCCCAGCAAGCAAUGAUGGACUCAGAGAAGGAUACUGGUACUCUCAGAACCAGAGACUGCGGAACUUUCCAGAAGUUGUGGUGGUUAUUACACUUAGGGAUGGGACUCAGAGGGCAAAGAUAAGCAAUGCUGUCUUCAUCUGAACACAGAACAACAACUUGUGUUGGGUCAGGAGGUAGCUCAGUAGCCUUAGGGAGGUGGAGGCAGGACCACCCUUAGGGACUGCAAGACGGCACACUUGUGAACUCUAGGCUGAGUGAGAGAUCCUGUCUCAAAAUACAGGUGGAGAACAGAAGGCUACACUCGAUGUUUGGUCAGACAAGUCUGCUGGGAAUCCUGGAUGCUUCCGGGGAGCCACUUGGCCGCUGAUACUAGCUGUGAUGUUCAGCCCAUCCUCUGGAGGCCCUUUACAGAUUUUAAGCUGGAGUAACCCAGCCUCCCUAGGAGCCAGGCACAGUGGAAAGCAGUUGGUAGCACUAGCCUGUAUUCUGGAAAGUGUGCAUCUGCCUUUCUUCCUUGGAUGCUGGGUUCGUGUCUAGGCCACAAGAUAGAAGAGUGCGACACAUCCACCCUGAGUGGGACUGGGGAAUACACACUUCUUAGUAAAUUGGUCUCCAAGAUCAAACCACUGCAUCAGUGGACCCUAGUACAGAGAGAGCACCAAGCCUCAAGACCCCAGACAGCCUGCCGAGAGAGCCCUUCAGGAUCUAUGACUCUUUCUUUAUGUAGCCUCUUCCCCAAAUCCAGGCUGUGCCACCUGGGGUGAAGCCAGAAUGAUGAGAGUUGCCACUGAUUUUUAAGUCAAAACAUAUUUGACUUUGAAUCUUGAAGAAGACUGUUGUUCUAUUAAUUAAACAACUAAAAACACAGAUUGAGCACACACAGGACCGAACGCUGAGAUCAUGUGACCCUUGGGAUGAAGCUGGGAACUGUAGUGCAGAGUUUUAUAUACCCAAGAGGAGAAGAACAACAUCCUAACUGAAAAGACUUGAUCUUUUUUUUUCAUCCACAAGGGCAUGUGUCCCACAUCAUUCAAGUAUGGUAAAUCUUGGCAUAUCGUUUAUUUAUACUACAUUUCAUUUUAGCUUCAGUGUUAGGGAAGGGAUAACCGAAAAAUAUUCUCUUGUGCCAACAAGAUGGCUGAGUGGGUGAAGGUGCUUGCGGCCAAAUCAGGUGACCAGGACCCACACGGUGGAAAGAGAGAAUUGACUCCUACACGUUGUCCUCUGACUUCCACACUCACAUG
Non-coding RNA from Peromyscus maniculatus bairdii (prairie deer mouse), 3424 nucleotides. Lineage: Eukaryota; Metazoa; Chordata; Mammalia; Rodentia; Cricetidae. The record is from RefSeq and is a predicted model, not a curated record.